UGAACGUUGGCGGCGUGGAUUAGGCAUGCAAGUCGAGCGAGAACCGGUCUUCGGACCGGGGACAGCGGCGAAAGGGACAGUAAUAUGUAGAUUACUUGCCCCGAGGCCCGGGAUAGCUGCGGGAAACUGCAGGUAGUACCGGAUGAUAUCUCCGGAUCAAAGGUGUGAUUCCGCCUCGGGAUGGGUCUGCAUCCUAUUAGUUAGUUGGUGAGGUAACGGCUCACCAAGACUUUGAUGGGUAGCGGGUGUGAGAGCACGACCCGCGUCACUGGGACUGAGACACUGCCCAGACACCUACGGGUGGCUGCAGUCGAGAAUCUUCGGCAAUGGACGCAAGUCUGACCGAGCGACGCCGCGUGUGGGAUGAAGGCCUUCGGGUUGUAAACCACUGUCAGAGGGGAGGAAAUUUGUGGGGGUUCUCCCCCAUGAUUGACCUAGCCUCAGAGGAAGGACGGGCUAAGUUCGUGCCAGCAGCCGCGGUAAGACGAACCGUCCGAACGUUAUUCGGAAUCACUGGGCUUAAAGGGUGCGUAGGCGGCGCAGAAAGUAGGGUGUGAAAUCCCUCGGCUUAACCGAGGAACUGCGCCCUAAACUACUGUGCUCGAGGGAGAUAGAGGUGAGCGGAACUUAGGGUGGAGCGGUGAAAUGCGUUGAUAUCCUAAGGAACACCGGUGGCGAAAGCGGCUCACUGGAUCUCUUCUGACGCUGAGCACGAAAGCUAGGGUAGCGAACGGGAUUAGAUACCCCGGUAGUCCUAGCCGUAACGAUGAGCACUGGAUUGGAGGGUCCUCCAUAGCCUUCCAGUCGCAGCGAAAGUGU
This 819-nucleotide ribosomal RNA is filed under the name uncultured bacterium. RNAcentral's name for it is "bacterial SSU rRNA". It matches the Rfam family "Bacterial small subunit ribosomal RNA", at positions 30 to 860 of the family's 1533-position model. The record is from RNAcentral.